Molecule: ribosomal RNA, 596 nt
Filed under: uncultured bacterium
Lineage: Bacteria
Description: bacterial SSU rRNA
Rfam family: Bacterial small subunit ribosomal RNA
Source: RNAcentral
CCUGCCCAGAAGCGGGGGAUAACACCUGGAAACAGAUGCUAAUACCGCAUAACAACUUGGACCGCAUGGUCCGAGUUUGAAAGAUGGCUUCGGCUAUCACUUUUGGAUGGUCCCGCGGCGUAUUAGCUAGAUGGUGAGGUAACGGCUCACCAUGGCAAUGAUACGUAGCCGACCUGAGAGGGUAAUCGGCCACAUUGGGACUGAGACACGGCCCAAACUCCUACGGGAGGCAGCAGUAGGGAAUCUUCCACAAUGGACGAAAGUCUGAUGGAGCAACGCCGCGUGAGUGAAGAAGGGUUUCGGCUCGUAAAACUCUGUUGUUAAAGAAGAACAUAUCUGAGAGUAACUGUUCAGGUAUUGACGGUAUUUAACCAGAAAGCCACGGCUAACUACGUGCCAGCAGCCGCGGUAAUACGUAGGUGGCAAGCGUUGUCCGGAUUUAUUGGGCGUAAAGCGAGCGCAGGCGGUUUUUUAAGUCUGAUGUGAAAAGCCUUCGGGUCAACCGAAGAAGUGCAUCGGAAACUUGGGGAACUUGAGUGCAGAAAGAAGACAGUGGAACUCCAUGUGUAGCGGUGAAAUGCGUAGAUAUAUGGGAA